This 69-nucleotide ribosomal RNA is filed under the name uncultured Tulasnellaceae. RNAcentral's name for it is "partial 18S ribosomal RNA". It matches the Rfam family "Eukaryotic small subunit ribosomal RNA", at positions 1762 to 1829 of the family's 1831-position model. The record is from RNAcentral. Lineage: Eukaryota; Fungi; Basidiomycota; Agaricomycetes; Cantharellales; Tulasnellaceae.
AACUCGGCCAUUUAGAGGAAGUACAAGUCGUAACAAGGUAUCCGUAGGUGAACCUGCGGAAGGAUCAUG